RNAcentral lists this ribosomal RNA (513 nucleotides) under uncultured bacterium. RNAcentral's name for it is "partial 16S ribosomal RNA". It matches the Rfam family "Bacterial small subunit ribosomal RNA", at positions 28 to 507 of the family's 1533-position model. The record is from RNAcentral.
GACGAACGCUGGCGGCGUGCUUAACACAUGCAAGUCGAACGAGAGCGUAGAGAAAGCUUGCUUUUUCUACAAUCUAGUGGCAAACGGGUGAGUAACGCGUAAACAACCUGCCCUACGGAUGGGGACAACAGCUGGAAACGGCUGCUAAUACCGAAUACGUUCCGAAAGUCGCAUGACUAUCGGACGAAAGGAUGGCCUCUAUUUAUAAGCUAUCGCCGGAGGAGGGGUUUGCGUCUGAUUAGCUAGUUGGAGGGGUAACGGCCCACCAAGGCGACGAUCAGUAGCCGGUCUGAGAGGAUGAGCGGCCACAUUGGAACUGAGACACGGUCCAGACUCCUACGGGAGGCAGCAGUGGGGAAUCUUCCGCAAUGGGCGAAAGCCUGACGGAGCAACGCCGCGUGAGUGAAGACGGCCUUCGGGUUGUAAAGCUCUGUUAUACGGGACGAAUAAUCUUGUGGUUAAUACCCAUGAGAAGUGACGGUACCGUAAGAGAAAGCCACGGCUAACUACGUG